GACGAACGCUGGCGGCGUGCCUAAUACAUGCAAGUUGAGCGCUGAAGGUUGGUACUUGUACCAACUGGAUGAGCAGCGAACGGGUGAGUAACGCGUGGGGAAUCUGCCUUUGAGCGGGGGACAACAUUUGGAAACGAAUGCUAAUACCGCAUAAAAACUUUAAACACAAGUUUUAAGUUUGAAAGAUGCAAUUGCAUCACUCAAAGAUGAUCCCGCGUUGUAUUAGCUAGUUGGUGAGGUAAAGGCUCACCAAGGCGAUGAUACAUAGCCGACCUGAGAGGGUGAUCGGCCACAUUGGGACUGAGACACGGCCCAAACUCCUACAGGAGGCAGCAGUAGGGAAUAUUCGGCAAUGGACGAAAGUCUGACCGAGCAACGCCGCGUGAGUGAAGAAGGUUUUCGGAUCGUAAAACUCUGUUGGUAGAGAAGAACGUUGGUGAGAGUGGAAAGCUCAUCAAGUGACGGUAACUACCCAGAAAGGGACGGCAAACUACGU
Molecule: ribosomal RNA, 496 nt
Filed under: uncultured bacterium
Lineage: Bacteria
Description: partial 16S ribosomal RNA
Rfam family: Bacterial small subunit ribosomal RNA
Source: RNAcentral